This 446-nucleotide ribosomal RNA is filed under the name uncultured bacterium. Its description in RNAcentral is "partial 16S ribosomal RNA". It matches the Rfam family "Bacterial small subunit ribosomal RNA", at positions 338 to 795 of the family's 1533-position model. The record is from RNAcentral.
CCUACGGGAGACUGCAGUCGAGAAUCAUUCACAAUGGGGGAAACCCUGAUGGUGCGACGCCGCGUGGGGGAAUGAAGGUCUUCGGAUUGUAAACCCUUGUCAUGUGGGAGCAAAUUAAAAAGAUAGUACCACAAGAGGAAGAGACGGCUAACUCUGUGCCAGCAGCCGCGGUAAUACAGAGGUCUCAAGCGUUGUUCGGAAUCACUGGGCGUAAAGCGUGCGUAGGCUGUUUCUUCAGUCGUGUGUGAAAGGCGCGGGCUCAACCCGCGGACGGCACAUUAUCCUGAGAGACUAGAGUAAUGGAGGGGGAACCGGAAUUCUCGGUGUAGCAGUGAAAUGCGGAGAGAUCGAGAGGAACACUCGUGGCGAAGGCGGGUUCCUGGACAUUAACUGACGCUGAGGCACGAAGGCCAGGGGAGCGAAAGGGAUUAGAUACCCGAGUAGUC